This 302-nucleotide unclassified non-coding RNA is filed under the name uncultured fungus. Its description in RNAcentral is "partial contains small subunit ribosomal RNA, internal transcribed spacer 1, and 5.8S ribosomal RNA". The stretch from base 1 to 73 matches the Rfam family "Eukaryotic small subunit ribosomal RNA", at positions 1759 to 1831 of the family's 1831-position model. The record is from RNAcentral. Lineage: Eukaryota; Fungi.
UCAAACUUGGUCAUUUAGAGGAAGUAAAAGUCGUAACAAGGUCUCCGUUGGUGAACCAGCGGAGGGAUCAUUAAAGAGUUAAUCUAACUCCCAAACCCAUGUGAACUUACCUCUGUUGCCUCGGCAGGUCGCAGCUUACCCGGUGAGCCCCUACCCUGUAGGGACUUACCCGGUGGUUGCGGACAAGCCUGCCGGCGGCCCAUUAAACUCUGUUUAUCUAUUGUAUUCUGAAACUAUAACUAAAUCAGUUAAAAACUUUCAACAACGGAUCUCUUGGUUCUGGCAUCGAUGAAGAACGCAGC